GAUGAACGCUGGCGGCGUGCCUAAUACAUGCAAGUCGAACGCUGGAACUCUAGCUUGCUAGAUUGAAGGAGUGGCGCACGGGUGAGUAAUACAUAAGCAACCUACCCACGAAGACUGGGGUAAUCUCUGGAAACGGGGACUAAUACCGGAUAGGUAAUCGGAAGCCCUCUUCUGAUUAUUAAAGGUUAAAAACACUGGUGGAUGGACUUAUGUCGCAUUCGUUAGAUGGUGAGGUAACGGCCCCCCAUGCCAAAGAUGCGUAGCCGACCUGGGCUGGUGAACGGAACGGCUGGAUCGGAACCGCGGCACAGCCCAGACCCGUACGCGAGGCAGGGGAAGGGACUUUUCGGCGAGGGGGCAAACCCGGACCGAGCAACGCCGGGUAAGUGAGUACGGCCUUCGGGUAGUAAAGCUCUGUUGUAAGAAAAGAACGGUAGAUAGAGAAUAUCUAAAUGACGGUACCUUACCAGAAAGCCACGGCUAACUACGUG
Molecule: ribosomal RNA, 491 nt
Filed under: uncultured bacterium
Lineage: Bacteria
Description: partial 16S ribosomal RNA
Rfam family: Bacterial small subunit ribosomal RNA
Source: RNAcentral